CAAUCUGGAAAGGAAACAAGAUGAGCUGUUUCCUCAUUCCUCUGCUUUACCUGCUUUAUACAGUAACUGUGAGGCCUGUGUACCAAGUACUGAAGUGGGUGAAGGUGAAACAGGAUGCUACAACAGGAUAAAUCCAGAGCAGAAUGCUUUGAAGGUCAGUGUGCAGAAGGACUGGCAAGAUGUUCCAAUGAAAUAAGAAAAACCGACCAGCCAGGGAAGAAGAUUUUAUUGCUUUAAAGUUUUCAGUUUUUAGUUCAUAUUUCUUUCAUAUCACUUUUAACUGAACACACAACAUAACACUCACUUCCACUGCUUUGAACUUACUGUUUUGUUUGUAAAAAUUAAUUGAAAAUAUCUUGGACAGUUUUCUACACUGUGAUGUUUUUGUGUGUUUUUUCACACUCAAUCAAUGUUACUAGGAGACAUGUGACUGUUUUAUAUUUGUCUCUUGAAGUACAGUCAAAAUAACUAAGACCCAGACAUUAUGUCAAUCAUUUUUGAAACUCUAAAUAUGCUUGAAAGUGACUAAAUAAUUCCAGGUCAUGCAGUUUACAUUGGCAGUUUAACUUGAACAAAGAAGAAGGAUA
Molecule: long non-coding RNA, 587 nt
Organism: Seriola dumerili (greater amberjack)
Lineage: Eukaryota; Metazoa; Chordata; Actinopteri; Carangiformes; Carangidae
Exons: 4
Source: RefSeq, a predicted model, not a curated record